AUUGAACGCUGGCGGCAGGCCUAACACAUGCAAGUCGAACGGCUGCACAGUACUUGCUCCUGCUUUCAGCUGGCGACGGGCGAAUGGUUCCUAAGAACAUCCCUGGUUACUUGGUCUUGGGUCCUAACGCAGGGACUCAUACCCCAUUACCCCAUACGACCAACGGGUGGGAUCUUCGGACCUUACGCUCUCGCACGAUCCUAUGUGGCGAUGUCGGAUUAGCUAGUUGGCGGGGUAAAGGCCCACCAAGGCGACGAUCCGUAGCUGGUCUGAGAGGAUGAUCAGCCACACUGGAACUGAGACACGGUCCAGACUCCUACGGGAGGCAGCAGUGGGGAAUAUUGGACAAUGGGCGAAAGCCUGAUCCAGCCAUGCCGCGUGGGUGAAGAAGGUCUUCGGGUUGUAAAGCCCUUUUAUUUGGGAAGAAAAGCAGUAAGUUAAUACCUUGCUGUUUUGACGGUACCAACAGAAUAAGCACCGGCUAACUUCGUG
RNAcentral lists this ribosomal RNA (492 nucleotides) under uncultured bacterium. RNAcentral describes it as "partial 16S ribosomal RNA". It matches the Rfam family "Bacterial small subunit ribosomal RNA", at positions 30 to 507 of the family's 1533-position model. The record is from RNAcentral.